UCCCUAUUGUGCGAGUGAGAGAAAAUACGAGGCUUGGGGGCGGUAUCACUCUGGGCAUCAAUCGGUUUGACUGCAAGUUUCCGUUCUCAGAGAGGAAAGGAGAUGCUAUUUGAAGACCAAAAGAGCAAAACUAAAAGGAAACAGCAUACGGAUGGUGCCAUCCAGUGGCCGAACCGGAGAAACCAGCAGACUCUUCAGAGACCAAAAAGACAAGCCAAAUGGAGCGAACAACGGCGCGCAGAGGCUGCCACCUGGUGGCAGCAUUCGGAACAACCGGCGGAACCUGUCAGAGGGGUUAGGGUUAGUUAGGUUUAGCGUUAGGUUAGGGUUAGGGCUCAUGCUAGCGUCAGGUAGGGUUUGGUCUGGGGAUAAGUCUUGGGUCAGUGUUAGGGGUAGAGUUCGGUUUAUACAUUUUUCGAAGCUUAUCUGGAAAAUCUGCCGUCAGCUGUGCCAGGGCCAGGGCUACGUCUAUUUAAGGAUGGCACACACGCCUGUGUUUAGGAAUGCAACUCAGCAUUAAAGGUGCGGGGACGCGUUUCGGGGGGGGGGAUGCGUUUACACUCCGGAACAGUGACCUCCUCCCGGGGCACAGCUAAGCUGGCAGCGUACAGACUCCUGUGCUCGGGUACGCAGUAGACGGACGCGCCGACACCCGUGCACAGGCCGAGGGAACACAUCUGUGUCCAGGGGCUCGGCCACUGUGUAAAGCGCCAACUCCUGCGUCCUCUGGCGCAGCUUGUCGUCAACAGAGCGGCUGUACUUCCAGAAAUCUGGAGGUCGAUGCAGGAGGAUCUCUGUUUACAAUAGCGUCACCCAAAGGAGGCGAGUGGUUAGGGUUGGGGUGGCGGCCACGGCGUGAAUUCUCCGGUUUGCCCCUGUCCUGAUGCGCGCAUGCAUUCCGGGUGAUGCCGCUCGUUUCGGCUUGCACAUCUUAGUGUUAAAGAGCCCGUGCGCCCCGGCACAUUGCAGAUUUUGCGGUGUUUUUGUGCUCACAGCGUCCCGGAGGCUUCCGUGUAGUCACCGCCGGUGCUGGGCAGUGUGGCCUCCCGCACCUGGCGACUCAGGACCCCGCAGGGACUCUGCGUGGACCGUGCGAGAACCAGACACGCGACGGUCUCAAGCCCUAAAUUGCACCUCGGAUCAUGAUUGAACGCUCUCGCCAGCGUCGAGGAAUCGAGGACAAGUCCAGGCGAGAACGGAACCUGCUCGUGUUCUCUGCACGUUUGAGUUUUUUGUUUUAUAGCUAGCUUCCCUGCGACCCCACAGGCUCCACCGCCAUCAGGGAGGCUUCAGAGAGCUCUUAAGGCUCUGCAGACGGAUGAACAGAGCCGAAACGCCCGACCUCCGCGAGUUUACAGCCGAGUGCUCUCGGGAACGGCCGAGCGUGUUCGGAAACGAGAGGCGGCGGAAAAGACCGAGACUGGCUGGCAGCGCCGAGCAUUGACGAAGACAUCCGAGUGUCCGUGAGAGGAUGCCGAGCGCUCCGGAGGGCGGCCGGAAAGAGCCGAUGUGUAGUCGGGAGCAGCCGCGCGGAGCGUGAGGUUUCCGAGACCCGAAGGAAUCGGGUCUGGACAACGUGAUGACGUCAGGAGCCCGGGCAGGGGCCCUGUGAACUGCGGGAGAGGGGUGCUGAUGGCGUGGGGGCGGGACCGCAGGGUGGGCGGGCCUGAUGAUGGUUCCGUCUCUAGGGAACUGCUGCGAGGAUGACUUGUGGACCAGCUGCACGCGGCCGCUGCAUGAUACUACAUCUGCAGGGUCAGAGUCAGGGCUUGACCCCUGCAAAUAUGGCUGGGUCAGGGUCACAUCAGGGUCACGGUCAGAAUCCUCUGCGGCUUAGCCCCCCGGCAUCGGGUGUGCACAAACAACCACGUUACUGUACUCAUCUGCCCCGUUCACUUCCGCCCGUCAGCCCUCUGCGGACUUCAAGACCACAGCCGCUCAGGGAGGUGACCUUCGCAGCUCUCCCAUCACCCCUACCUCCCAUCAAGUGCCGCUCCGGCUUAGCCUUGCGACUUCAUCACGAGGGAGGCAGGAUCUUAGCCGGAGGGGGUACCCUCUUAAGGGGAGGAGGAGGGACGGCCUGUCCUCUGCCUUUUAUGCCCCCUAGAUUCUCUCCGUGCUGGCUAGUUUUGUCAGCUAAGGUCAUCUGAGAGGAGGGAACCUCAAUUGUGAAAAUGCCUCCAUAAGAUCAGGCUGUAGGCACGAGUGUAGAGCGUUUUCUUAAUUCAUGGUUGAUGGGGGAGGGCCCAGGCAAUUGUGGGCAGUGUUAUCCCUGGGCUGAUGGUCCUGGGUUCUAUAAGAAAGCAGGCUGAGGAAUCCUUGAGGAGCAAGCUGGUAAGCAUCACCGCUCCAUGGCCUCUGCAUCCGCUCCUGCUCUGACUUCUUUCAUAGACGACGAUUUCCUAGCCAAAUAAACCAUUCCUCCCCAA
This is a long non-coding RNA of Mesocricetus auratus (golden hamster), 2429 nucleotides long. RefSeq lists it as uncharacterized. NCBI's taxonomy places the organism in Eukaryota, Metazoa, Chordata, Mammalia, Rodentia, Cricetidae. The record is from RefSeq and is a predicted model, not a curated record. The transcript has 2 exons.